AAACCUGAUGUCUCUGGAUUAAGUUUAGAAGUGUGAACAACAUGGAUGAUGUCAUGGUGGGAGUCUGCUAUAGACCACCCGACCAGGGGGAUGAGGUGGACGAGGCUUUCUUCCGGCAACUCACGGAAGUUACUAGAUCGCAGGCCCCGGUUCUCAUGGGAGACUUCAAUCAUCCUGAUAUCUCCUG
Molecule: long non-coding RNA, 187 nt
Organism: Dermochelys coriacea (leatherback sea turtle)
Lineage: Eukaryota; Metazoa; Chordata; Testudines; Dermochelyidae
Exons: 5
Source: RefSeq, a predicted model, not a curated record